GAAAUGCGAUAAUUAAUGUGAAUUGCAGAAUUCAGUGAAUCAUCGAGUCUUUGAACGCACAUUGCGCCCCCUGGUAUUCCGGGGGGCAUGCCUGUCCGAGCGUCAUUGCUGCCCUCAAGCACGGCUUGGGUGUUGGGCUUCCGUCCCUGGCAACGGGGACGGGCCCAAAAGGCAGUGGCGGCACCAUGUCUGGUCCUCGAGCGUAUGGGGCUUUGCCACCCGCUCCCGUAGGUCCAGCUGGCAGCUAGCCUCGCAACCAAUCUUUUUAACCAGGUUGACCUCGGAUCAGGUAGGGAUACCCGCUGAACUUAAGC
This 314-nucleotide unclassified non-coding RNA is filed under the name plant metagenome. RNAcentral describes it as "partial contains 5.8S ribosomal RNA, internal transcribed spacer 2, and large subunit ribosomal RNA". The stretch from base 1 to 105 matches the Rfam family "5.8S ribosomal RNA", at positions 50 to 154 of the family's 154-position model. The record is from RNAcentral.